CUUACUUCCGUUUCAAUAUGAGUUUUAAGUAACUCUCCGGUAGGCAGCGCUAUCUCUAGUAUGGGCAUUCGCUUAUCUGUCAAAAUCGGCCGGUUACAUGUUUAUCUUUCGAAAGUAAAUCGCUAUAAUUUAAUAAUUGUUUCUCUUCAUAUUGGCAUAUUGUAGCAGUGAUGAUAGUGAUAUGGAAUUAUUUCAAAUGAUAAUGGAUUGUGAUGCAGAUAGUGAUAGUGAGGCCGAUAUCAUAUGGUUAGGAAAAUAAAGAUCGUCUGAAUUACAUGGCGAAGAUCAAUAAUUACGAAUUUGACUAUAGAUUUCUGAGCAAAGGUGUUGUGAAUGAAUUGAUUAAUUUAAUGAGACCAUAUUUGAGUGUAACGUCAAAAAGGUAAGAUAAAUUUUAACCAUAAAAGUACUCGUUAUUACAACUUAUAUUUGUUUAUAGCAAUAGCAAAAUUAUACCUAAUUUUUGUUGUGUUACAAAAUCACACUCAACAGGAAUUCUAUAAUACUGCUGGAUUCCCAUGGUGCCCUAAAUGACAUUCAUAUACUAAUACAAUAACCUGGUAGGCUAUUUACCUUCAUUCUUAUUACACACUGAUACCUCUACAUUUUAUAUUUGUGUUACAGAUUCAAAUAUAGGAGAGGAAUUUAGAAAUAGAAAAAGAGUAUUUUGAAUGUGUAAUUUGUGUGCAAUGCAUCAUUGAUGUUUCAAAAUGUUGUUGCUUGAUGGCCUGGGUCUACUCAUGAUACAACUAUAAUUAACCAUUCCGAUUGAAAAGAUGCAUUGGUGUUUGUAAAAGAAGACUCCCUGUACAUCAUUGAAAAGUAGAUUAAAACUAGAAAAUAUGCAAGCUGUUAUUAUAGCUGCCAUGCUGCAUAAUAUCGUCAGAAGUAUGAAUUUAGAGGAAUUAGAAUCAGAAAUUUCAGUCGCAGAUACAUUACAGGAAAAUAAUAUAAUUGUUCGUAACAAAUUUUCAAAACUUACAUCUGAAAUACAACUAUGUACUUAUAAAUAAUUGCUUCCAAAGAUAAUUUGUAAAAUAAACUCCAAAGAUAAUUUGACUAUUUUUUAUUUUCCAAAAUGAUAAUUACAUGGUAGUUAGUACAUGCAAGAUAUUUAAUUUAGAAUUUGUACAUAUACUUAAAAAACUAUCUAACAUAAAAUUAUUAUUGCCUACUUAAUUUAUGAAAUUUAAUAUUCCUUUUAAGUAAUUUUUAAUUUUUUAAAUUAUCUAAAUCUAACUUAACUUUUGCUACAACAAUCUCCUUUUCUUUAUUUUCCAAGUCAAGUCUCUUUUUUGCUAUUAGAUAUUCUGCUAAUGCAUUGUCCCUAUGCUAGCCUUGCAUUUCUUUUCUUCCAUCUUGUUUCCGCUUGGCUGUAAAAGUGUUAAAAAUAUUAUAUGUGACCUACAACAAUGUGCAUGCUUUAUCCAAAAUUUCAUCUGCAAUCCUUACCACCUCCAGCCUGUAACAAAGAGCAUAAUUAUUUCAAAUACUACGGCAACCUGAAGAAAAAAUCAUGUUUAUCAAUGUGUUAUUAGAGACAAACAAUCAACUAAUUAUACUAACCUUACUAAGGUUGUUUCUUAUGUUGCCGUAGCGUUCUUUAAAUUUUCCCAUUUUAGUCGAAGCUGCGAUGGAGUUCGUGGGAAACGACGAAUCGACGAAUUAAAAUCAUUUACAAGGGUUUGCCAAGCCUGCUCCUUCAAUUUAUUGUUUGUGGCAUUUGUUGCCUUAUUAUUGAAAUGUUUUUUCGCCGCCACAAGUUCUGCUAGAAUCAUCGUCUCAUCUUUUGUCAUGGGUGCUGCCUUUCUUGACUGAAAAAGAUAUAUUUUCUAAACUUGAACUCAAAGUUUUCAAAGUAAAAUUAUUAUUAUCAAUGUAGUUCAUAGAUACUUACAGAAUUCAUUUUAUUUCACUGUAGCUCUUUAAUUAUAAACACACUUAGAAUUAUAAACGAAAGUUUUAAAGCGUUUUGGAGGUAAGUCAUCAUCUAAUAUAGUAGGUAAACAAUAGAAAAACAAACAAAAGAAACUAAUCACUGCUUAUUGGCAAACGGACUGUCAAAACGUUUCGUUUCAUAAUUUCGACUAGGAUAAAAAUAGCAAUACGUCCAAUUUAAAAAAAUCUACAUGUGUUUUUAUUACUUUUUGUUAUAAACAAAUGUGUUUAUGAUAGUCUACAAUAUGCUGGUUAAAUUAUAGUUAUAAUUUAGAAUAAAAUAAAAUAAGUCUUGAUCCUGAUGUUGUUUCGUAUUUGUAGUAGAACGAAACGUAUCAAGAGGCUCGGAUAAAUCGGAGGGAAGAAGCUAUCUACUGUUGGUUAAAGAGAGAUAGCACUUAUCCGUGAUUGUGAAACGCAAACUAAGGACAGAUACGCUCUUGCUGAUAUUCGGAGAUAGCUAUCUAUCCGAAAACUCAGAUACGUUAUUGAAAACGGCCGUUACGGCCGUUUUCAAUAACCUAUCUAUCCCUAGUUUCGGUUACUAAAGAUAGACAAAUCUAUAUUUUUGUCCUUACUUACGUUCCAAUAACCUAUCGACGGGCAGCAGUUCCUAUCGGAUUUAUCUAUCCAUCGUCGGGAGGACGGAUAGCCUGCUAAAGAUAGAACGCUCAUACAAAUCGUGCUUACUUCCGUUUCAAUAUGAGUUUUAAGUAACUCUCCGGUAGGCGGCGCUAUCUCUAGUAUGGGCAUUCGCUUAUCUGUCAAAAUCGGCCGGUUACAUGUUUAUCUUUCGAAAGUAAAUCGCUAUAAUUUAAUAAUUGUUUCUCUUCAUAUUGGCAUAUUGUAGCAGUGAUGAUAGUGAUAUGGAAUUAUUUCAAAUGAUAAUGGAUUGUGAUGCAGAUAGUGAUAGUGAGGCCGAUAUCAUAUGGUUAGGAAAAUAAAGAUCGUCUGAAUUACAUGGCGAAGAUCAAUAAUUACGAAUUUGACUAUAGAUUUCUGAGCAAAGGUGUUGUGAAUGAAUUGAUUAAUUUAAUGAGACCAUAUUUGAGUGUAACGUCAAAAAGAUUCAAAUAUAGGAGAGGAAUUUAGAAAUAGAAAAAGAGUAUUUUGAAUGUGUAAUUUGUGUGCAAUGCAUCAUUGAUGUUUCAAAAUGUUGUUGCUUGAUGGCCUGGGUCUACUCAUGAUACAACUAUAAUUAACCAUUCCGAUUGAAAAGAUGCAUUGGUGUUUGUAAAAGAAGACUCCCUGUAUAUCAUUGAAAAGUAGAUUAAAACUAGAAAAUAUGCAAGCUGUUAUUAUAGCUGCCAUGCUGCAUAAUAUCGUCAGAAGUAUGAAUUUAGAAGAAUUAGAAUCAGAAAUUUCAGUCGCAGAUACAUUACAGGAAAAUAAUAUAAUUGUUCGUAACAAUUUUUCAAAACUUACAUCUGAAAUACAACUAUGUACUUAUAAAUAAUUGCUUCCAAAGAUAAUUUAUAAAAUAAACUCCAAAGAUAA
Long non-coding RNA from Bombyx mori (domestic silkworm), 3435 nucleotides. RefSeq lists it as uncharacterized. The transcript is spliced from 4 exons. The record is from RefSeq and is a predicted model, not a curated record. Lineage: Eukaryota; Metazoa; Arthropoda; Insecta; Lepidoptera; Bombycidae.